Molecule: ribosomal RNA, 323 nt
Filed under: Corynebacterium sp. zg912
Lineage: Bacteria; Bacillati; Actinomycetota; Actinomycetes; Mycobacteriales; Corynebacteriaceae
Also listed under: 1 other name
Description: bacterial SSU rRNA
Rfam family: Bacterial small subunit ribosomal RNA
Source: RNAcentral
UUUGUGGAGAGUUUGAUCCUGGCUCAGGAUGAACGCUGGCGGCGUGCUUAACACAUGCAAGUCGAACGGAAAGGAUCCCUUCGGGGAUUACUCGAGUGGCGAACGGGUGAGUAACACGUGGGUGAUCUGCCCUGCACUUCGGGAUAAGCCUGGGAAACUGGGUCUAAUACCGGAUAGGACGAUGGUUUGGAUGCCGUUGUGGAAAGUUUUUUCGGUGUGGGAUGAGCUCGCGGCCUAUCAGCUUGUUGGUGGGGUAAUGGCCUACCAAGGCGUCGACGGGUAGCCGGCCUGAGAGGGUGUACGGCCACAUUGGGACUGAGAUA